This 468-nucleotide unclassified non-coding RNA is filed under the name Hevea brasiliensis (rubber tree). The record is from RNAcentral. Lineage: Eukaryota; Viridiplantae; Streptophyta; Magnoliopsida; Malpighiales; Euphorbiaceae.
CGCUUGGCGAUGUCGUCCACGGUGACUCCCGAUCCCGCCUUGAGCCCGCGCGGAUCGACGAUGCAUUCGUGCGCAACGCGGCCGUUGUGGUUGCGAUAGAGCACCGGGAAAUGCGGAUCGAGCCUCCUGGCGAUGUAGUUCGCGUUCAGGAUUGCGACUUCCGUCGCCCGGGUCAGGCCUUCGCCGCCCAUCAUCAGGAUGUAGAUGUAGGAGAUGACGAGGAUCGAUGCCGACCCGUAGGGCGCCGCCGACACCGGACCGACCGGGGCCUUGCCGCCGUCGGUUGCGACAUGUCCGGGCAGGAACGGCGCGAGAUGCGCGCGCACGCCGAUCGGGCCCAUGCCCGGUCCGCCGCCCCCAUGCGGAAUGCAGAAGGUCUUGUGCAGAUUGAGAUGGCUGACAUCCGCGCCGUAGUCGCCGGGGCGGGCGAGCCCGACCUGCGCAUUGAGAUUGGCGCCGUCGAGAUAG